GGGCCCGCACAAGCAGCGGAGCAUGUGGUUUAAUUCGAAGCAACGCGAAGAACCUUACCUAGACUUGACAUCUCCUGAAUUACCGGUAAUGCGGGAAGCCCUUCGGGGCAGGAAGACAGGUGGUGCAUGGUUGUCGUCAGCUCGUGUCGUGAGAUGUUGGGUUAAGUCCCGCAACGAGCGCAACCCUUAUCAUUAGUUGCUACCAUUAAGUUGAGCACUCUAGUGAGACUGCCCGGGUUAACCGGGAGGAAGGUGGGGAUGACGUCAAAUCAUCAUGCCCCUUAUGUCUAGGGCUACACACGUGCUACAAUGGGCAGUACAAUGAGAUGCAAACCCGUGAGGGGGAGCAAAACUAUAAAACUGUUCCCAGUUCGGAUUGUAGGCUGAAACUCGCCUACAUGAAGCCGGAGUUGCUAGUAAUCGCGAAUCAGCAUGUCGCGGUGAAUACGUUCCCGGGCCUU
RNAcentral lists this ribosomal RNA (461 nucleotides) under uncultured bacterium. Its description in RNAcentral is "bacterial SSU rRNA". It matches the Rfam family "Bacterial small subunit ribosomal RNA", at positions 917 to 1382 of the family's 1533-position model. The record is from RNAcentral.